RNAcentral lists this ribosomal RNA (492 nucleotides) under uncultured bacterium. RNAcentral's name for it is "partial 16S ribosomal RNA". It matches the Rfam family "Bacterial small subunit ribosomal RNA", at positions 29 to 507 of the family's 1533-position model. The record is from RNAcentral.
AGUGAACGCUGGCGGUAGGCCUAACACAUGCAAGUCGAACGGCAGCACAGUAAGAGCUUGCUCUUGCGGGUGGCGAGUGGCGGACGGGUGAGGAAUACAUCGGAAUCUACUUUUUCGUGGGGGAUAACGUAGGGAAACUUACGCUAAUACCGCAUACGACCUACGGGUGAAAGCAGGGGAUCUUCGGACCUUGCGCGAUUGAAUGAGCCGAUGUCGGAUUAGCUAGUUGGCGGGGUAAAGGCCCACCAAGGCGACGAUCCGUAGCUGGUCUGAGAGGAUGAUCAGCCACACUGGAACUUAGACACGGUCCAGACUCCUACGGGAGGCAGCAGUGGGGAAUAUUGGACCAUGGGCGCAAGCCUUAUCCAGCCAUUCCGCGUUGGUGAAGAAGGCCUUCGGGUUUUAAAGCCCUUUUUUUUGGAAAGAAAAGCAGCAAGUUAAUACCCCGCUGUUCUGACGGUACCCAAAGAAUAAGCACCGGCUAACUUCGUG